Molecule: ribosomal RNA, 448 nt
Filed under: uncultured bacterium
Lineage: Bacteria
Description: bacterial SSU rRNA
Rfam family: Bacterial small subunit ribosomal RNA
Source: RNAcentral
UUCCAGACUCCUACGGGAGGCAGCAGUGGGGGAUAUUGCACAAUGGGGGAAACCCUGAUGCAGCGAUGCCGCGUGAAUGAAGACGGCCUUCGGGUUGUAAAGUCCUGUCGCAGGGGACGAAAAUGACGGUACCCUGCAAGAAAGCUCCGGCUAACUACGUGCCAGCAGCCGCGGUAAUACGUAGGGAGCAAGCGUUGUCCGGAAUUACUGGGUGUAAAGGGAGCGUAGGCGGGAAGCCAAGUCAGCUGUGAAAACUACGGGCUUAACCUGUAGACUGCAGUUGAAACUGGCUUUCUUGAGUGAAGUAGAGGUUGGCGGAAUUCCGAGUGUAGCGGUGAAAUGCGUAGAUAUUCGGAGGAACACCGGUGGCGAAGGCGGCCAACUGGGCUUUAACUGACGCUGAGGCUCGAAAGUGUGGGGAGCAAACAGGAUUAGAUACCCUAGUACA